This 208-nucleotide ribosomal RNA is filed under the name uncultured bacterium. RNAcentral describes it as "partial 16S ribosomal RNA". It matches the Rfam family "Bacterial small subunit ribosomal RNA", at positions 1285 to 1500 of the family's 1533-position model. The record is from RNAcentral.
GUCUCAGUUCGGAUUGGAGUCUGCAACCCGACUCCAUGAAGCUGGAUUCGCUAGUAAUCGCGCAUCAGCCACGGCGCGGUGAAUACGUUCCCGGGCCUUGUACACACCGCCCGUCAAGCCAUGGGAGCCGGGGGUGCCUGAAGGCCGUGACCGCGAGGAGCGGCCUAGGGUAAAACUGGUGACUGGGGCUAAGUCGUAACAAGGUAUC